AGAGGGAACAUCCCACCACAUCUCGGCACCACAGAAACCCACCAUGUCCCACAGGGGAGAAAAACACUAUCUCUGCCCUGAGUGUGGCAAGACUUACACCCGGGAAUACGACCUCCGAGUCCACCUCAGAACGCACACAGGAGAGCGACCGUACCAGUGUUAUGACUGCGGGAAGGCCUACGUCCGGAAAAACAAUCUCCAACAACACCGGCGGUCACAUGCUCCCAAGCCCAUGGGACCGACCCGCCAUUUAGGCAGACCACCCAGGGUGGGCUCUAGUAGUGGAAGGUCCAACCAAUCACCCAGGGUGGGAUCUAGUAGUGGAAGGUCCAACCAAUCACCCAGAGUAGGAAGAGCUAAGCAAAACAUGCCUACAUCAAUGUAAAUAUGAGAGACUCGUGCCCUUACCGCAGAUGGAGAGAGGACACUGGCAGUUCUGGCACCUUUAAACACGGGGCUGGGUCCAUAUCAUCAUCCCAAAUAGCACCCUAUUUCCUAUAUAGUGCACUACUUUUGACCAAGGCCCAUAUGGGAACCUUUAAGGGCUCUGCUGAAAUGCAGUGCACUAUAUAGGGAAUAGGGUGCUAUUUUGGACACUCACACUGCAUCUUAUGACUACAGAAUCGUUAUUCUUUCUGGUGUGUGUGCGCGCGUCUGUAUGCACGCAUGUAUUUAUGUUGUGUUGUUGUGAUCAGUACAAUACAGUCCACUGUGUUGUGUAAGAUAAUCAAUCAUACUAUGUAAUCCUGUGCAUUUUAUUUCUUGUUUAUUUUAUAUAUCUUAUUUUACUUAUUGAAGCUAUCAUGAUACUAAGAAAUGACUUGCAUUUCAUAUAACGCCAUGGUCCAAUAAAUGAACAUUGGGGGAAAAACGUCUCUCCUUUAUUACCCCUUAUCCAGGGCACGAUACACCGACGUCACAGAUGCGCGAUUCUUUAGGGUGGCAGUAAGGAAGCCAUUGCGAUCUGCCCUCAGCCUAGAUUUAUGUAUUUAUUACUUCUAAACAAAAUAAACUUUUUGGUGUUCUGA
Molecule: long non-coding RNA, 1028 nt
Organism: Oncorhynchus gorbuscha (pink salmon)
Lineage: Eukaryota; Metazoa; Chordata; Actinopteri; Salmoniformes; Salmonidae
Exons: 2
Source: RefSeq, a predicted model, not a curated record